Small nucleolar RNA from Gossypium arboreum, 107 nucleotides. It matches the Rfam family "Plant small nucleolar RNA R71". From Rfam's summary of the family: R71 is a member of the C/D box family of snoRNAs containing the C (UGAUGA) and D (CUGA) box motifs. Multiple nearly identical copies of this snoRNA have been identified in Arabidopsis, and it is thought to function as a 2'-O-ribose methylation guide for 18S ribosomal RNA. The record is from Rfam. Lineage: Eukaryota; Viridiplantae; Streptophyta; Magnoliopsida; Malvales; Malvaceae.
AACCCACGAUAAUGACACGUUCUCAAAAGAUCUUUAAAUCUCUCCUAUGCAUCAUAAAAUGUCUCCAUUUCAAAUUGAACAAAAAAAGAUAUGUUGUUUCUCAACUU